RNAcentral lists this ribosomal RNA (671 nucleotides) under uncultured bacterium. RNAcentral's name for it is "bacterial SSU rRNA". It matches the Rfam family "Bacterial small subunit ribosomal RNA", at positions 51 to 719 of the family's 1533-position model. The record is from RNAcentral.
ACACAUGCAGUCGAGCGGAUGAGGGAGCUUGCUCCUGGAUUCAGCGGCGGACGGGUGAGUAAUGCCUAGGAAUCUGCCUGGUAGUGGGGGACAACGUUUCGAAAGGAACGCUAAUACCGCAUACGUCCUACGGGAGAAAGCAGGGGACCUUCGGGCCUUGCGCUAUCAGAUGAGCCUAGGUCGGAUUAGCUAGUUGGUGAGGUAAUGGCUCACCAAGGCGACGAUCCGUAACUGGUCUGAGAGGAUGAUCAGUCACACUGGAACUGAGACACGGUCCAGACUCCUACGGGAGGCAGCAGUGGGGAAUAUUGGACAAUGGGCGAAAGCCUGAUCCAGCCAUGCCGCGUGUGUGAAGAAGGUCUUCGGAUUGUAAAGCACUUUAAGUUGGGAGGAAGGGCAGUAAAUUAAUACUUUGCUGUUUUGACGUUACCGACAGAAUAAGCACCGGCUAACUCUGUGCCAGCAGCCGCUGUAAUACAGAGGGUGCAAGCGUUAAUCGGAAUUACUGGGCGUAAAGCGCGCGUAGGUGGUUUGUUAAGUUGGAUGUGAAAUCCCCGGGCUCAACCUGGGAACUGCAUCCAAAACUGGCAAGCUAGAGUAUGGUAGAGGGUGGUGGAAUUUCCUGUGUAGCGGUGAAAUGCGUAGAUAUAGGAAGGAACACCAGUGGCGAA